This 764-nucleotide ribosomal RNA is filed under the name uncultured bacterium. RNAcentral describes it as "bacterial SSU rRNA". It matches the Rfam family "Bacterial small subunit ribosomal RNA", at positions 1 to 766 of the family's 1533-position model. The record is from RNAcentral.
UAGAGUUUGAUCCUGGCUCAGAUUGAACGCUGGCGGCAGGCCUAACACAUGCAAGUCGAGCGGAUGAGAAGAGCUUGCUCUUCGAUUCAGCGGCGGACGGGUGAGUAAUGCCUAGGAAUCUGCCUGGUAGUGGGGGACAACGUUUCGAAAGGAACGCUAAUACCGCAUACGUCCUACGGGAGAAAGCAGGGGACCUUCGGGCCUUGCGCUAUCAGAUGAGCCUAGGUCGGAUUAGCUAGUUGGUGAGGUAAUGGCUCACCAAGGCGACGAUCCGUAACUGGUCUGAGAGGAUGAUCAGUCACACUGGAACUGAGACACGGUCCAGACUCCUACGGGAGGCAGCAGUGGGGAAUAUUGGACAAUGGGCGAAAGCCUGAUCCAGCCAUGCCGCGUGUGUGAAGAAGGUCUUCGGAUUGUAAAGCACUUUAAGUUGGGAGGAAGGGCAGUAAGAUAAUACCUUGCUGUUUUGACGUUACCGACAGAAUAAGCACCGGCUAACUCUGUGCCAGCAGCCGCGGUAAUACAGAGGGUGCAAGCGUUAAUCGGAAUUACUGGGCGUAAAGCGCGCGUAGGUGGUUUGUUAAGUUGGAUGUGAAAGCCCCGGGCUCAACCUGGGAACUGCAUCCAAAACUGGCAAGCUAGAGUACGGUAGAGGGUGGUGGAAUUUCCUGUGUAGCGGUGAAAUGCGUAGAUAUAGGAAGGAACACCAGUGGCGAAGGCGACCACCUGGACUGAUACUGACACUGAGGUGCGAAAGCGUGGGG